Molecule: ribosomal RNA, 490 nt
Filed under: uncultured bacterium
Lineage: Bacteria
Description: partial 16S ribosomal RNA
Rfam family: Bacterial small subunit ribosomal RNA
Source: RNAcentral
AUUGAACGCUGGCGGCAGGCCUAACACAUGCAAGUCGAACGGUAACAGGAAACAGCUUGCUGUUUCGCUGACGAGUGGCGGACGGGUGAGUAAUGUCUGGGAAACUGCCUGAUGGAGGGGGAUAACUACUGGAAACGGUAGCUAAUACCGCAUAACGUCGCAAGCCCAAAGAGGGGGACCUUCGGGCCUCUUGCCAUCGGAUGUGCCCAGAUGGGAUUAGCUAGUAGGUGGGGUAACGGCUCACCUAGGCGACGAUCCCUAGCUGGUCUGAGAGGAUGACCAGCCACACUGGAACUGAGACACGGUCCAGACUCCUACGGGAGGCAGCAGUGGGGAAUAUUGCACAAUGGGCGCAAGCCUGAUGCAGCCAUGCCGCGUGUAUGAAGAAGGCCUUCGGGUUGUAAAGUACUUUCAGCGGGGAGGAAGGGAGUAAAGUUAAUACCUUUACUCAUUGACGUUACCCGCAGAAGAAGCACCGGCUAACUCCGUG